RNAcentral lists this ribosomal RNA (2900 nucleotides) under Klebsiella pneumoniae. Its description in RNAcentral is "bacterial LSU rRNA". It matches the Rfam family "Bacterial large subunit ribosomal RNA". The record is from RNAcentral. Lineage: Bacteria; Pseudomonadati; Pseudomonadota; Gammaproteobacteria; Enterobacterales; Enterobacteriaceae. RNAcentral also lists the same sequence under 2 other names.
UUAAGCGACUAAGCGUACACGGUGGAUGCCCUGGCAGUCAGAGGCGAUGAAGGACGUGCUAAUCUGCGAAAAGCGUCGGUAAGGUGAUAUGAACCGUUAUAACCGGCGAUGUCCGAAUGGGGAAACCCAGUGUGAUUCGUCACACUAUCGUUAACUGAAUACAUAGGUUAACGAGGCGAACCGGGGGAACUGAAACAUCUAAGUACCCCGAGGAAAAGAAAUCAACCGAGAUUCCCCCAGUAGCGGCGAGCGAACGGGGAGCAGCCCAGAGUCUGAAUCAGCUUGUGUGUUAGUGGAACGGUCUGGAAAGUCCGACGGUACAGGGUGAUAGUCCCGUACACCAAAAUGCACAGGUUGUGAACUCGAAGAGUAGGGCGGGACACGUGGUAUCCUGUCUGAAUAUGGGGGGACCAUCCUCCAAGGCUAAAUACUCCUGACUGACCGAUAGUGAACCAGUACCGUGAGGGAAAGGCGAAAAGAACCCCGGCGAGGGGAGUGAAAAAGAACCUGAAACCGUGUACGUACAAGCAGUGGGAGCACCUUCGGGUGUGACUGCGUACCUUUUGUAUAAUGGGUCAGCGACUUAUAUUCUGUAGCAAGGUUAACCGUAUAGGGGAGCCGCAGGGAAACCGAGUCUUAACUGGGCGUUAAGUUGCAGGGUAUAGACCCGAAACCCGGUGAUCUAGCCAUGGGCAGGUUGAAGGUUGGGUAACACUAACUGGAGGACCGAACCGACUAAUGUUGAAAAAUUAGCGGAUGACUUGUGGCUGGGGGUGAAAGGCCAAUCAAACCGGGAGAUAGCUGGUUCUCCCCGAAAGCUAUUUAGGUAGCGCCUCGUGAAUUCAUCUUCGGGGGUAGAGCACUGUUUCGGCUAGGGGGUCAUCCCGACUUACCAACCCGAUGCAAACUACGAAUACCGAAGAAUGUUAUCACGGGAGACACACGGCGGGUGCUAACGUCCGUCGUGAAGAGGGAAACAACCCAGACCGCCAGCUAAGGUCCCAAAGUCAUGGUUAAGUGGGAAACGAUGUGGGAAGGCACAGACAGCCAGGAUGUUGGCUUAGAAGCAGCCAUCAUUUAAAGAAAGCGUAAUAGCUCACUGGUCGAGUCGGCCUGCGCGGAAGAUGUAACGGGGCUAAACCAUGCACCGAAGCUGCGGCAGCGACACUAUGUGUUGUUGGGUAGGGGAGCGUUCUGUAAGCCUGCGAAGGUGUGCUGUGAGGCAUGCUGGAGGUAUCAGAAGUGCGAAUGCUGACAUAAGUAACGAUAAAGCGGGUGAAAAGCCCGCUCGCCGGAAGACCAAGGGUUCCUGUCCAACGUUAAUCGGGGCAGGGUGAGUCGACCCCUAAGGCGAGGCCGAAAGGCGUAGUCGAUGGGAAACAGGUUAAUAUUCCUGUACUUGGUGUUACUGCGAAGGGGGGACGGAGAAGGCUAUGUUAGCCGGGCGACGGUUGUCCCGGUUUAAGCAUGUAGGCUGGUUAUCCAGGCAAAUCCGGAUAAUCAAGGCUGAGGUGUGAUGACGAGGCACUACGGUGCUGAAGUAACAAAUGCCCUGCUUCCAGGAAAAGCCUCUAAGCAUCAGGUAACAUCAAAUCGUACCCCAAACCGACACAGGUGGUCAGGUAGAGAAUACCAAGGCGCUUGAGAGAACUCGGGUGAAGGAACUAGGCAAAAUGGUGCCGUAACUUCGGGAGAAGGCACGCUGGUGUGUAGGUGAAGUCCCUGCGGAUGGAGCUGAGACCAGUCGAAGAUACCAGCUGGCUGCAACUGUUUAUUAAAAACACAGCACUGUGCAAACACGAAAGUGGACGUAUACGGUGUGACGCCUGCCCGGUGCCGGAAGGUUAAUUGAUGGGGUUAUCCGUAAGGAGAAGCUCUUGAUCGAAGCCCCGGUAAACGGCGGCCGUAACUAUAACGGUCCUAAGGUAGCGAAAUUCCUUGUCGGGUAAGUUCCGACCUGCACGAAUGGCGUAAUGAUGGCCAGGCUGUCUCCACCCGAGACUCAGUGAAAUUGAACUCGCUGUGAAGAUGCAGUGUACCCGCGGCAAGACGGAAAGACCCCGUGAACCUUUACUAUAGCUUGACACUGAACAUUGAGCCUUGAUGUGUAGGAUAGGUGGGAGGCUUUGAAGCGUGGACGCCAGUCUGCGUGGAGCCAACCUUGAAAUACCACCCUUUAAUGUUUGAUGUUCUAACGUUGGCCCCUUACCGGGGUUGCGGACAGUGUCUGGUGGGUAGUUUGACUGGGGCGGUCUCCUCCCAAAGCGUAACGGAGGAGCACGAAGGUUAGCUAAUCCUGGUCGGACAUCAGGAGGUUAGUGCAAUGGCAUAAGCUAGCUUGACUGCGAGCGUGACGGCGCGAGCAGGUGCGAAAGCAGGUCAUAGUGAUCCGGUGGUUCUGAAUGGAAGGGCCAUCGCUCAACGGAUAAAAGGUACUCCGGGGAUAACAGGCUGAUACCGCCCAAGAGUUCAUAUCGACGGCGGUGUUUGGCACCUCGAUGUCGGCUCAUCACAUCCUGGGGCUGAAGUAGGUCCCAAGGGUAUGGCUGUUCGCCAUUUAAAGUGGUACGCGAGCUGGGUUUAGAACGUCGUGAGACAGUUCGGUCCCUAUCUGCCGUGGGCGCUGGAGAAUUGAGGGGGGCUGCUCCUAGUACGAGAGGACCGGAGUGGACGCAUCACUGGUGUUCGGGUUGUCAUGCCAAUGGCACUGCCCGGUAGCUAAAUGCGGAAGAGAUAAGUGCUGAAAGCAUCUAAGCACGAAACUUGCCCCGAGAUGAGUUCUCCCUGAGACUUUAAGUCUCCUGAAGGAACGUUGAAGACGACGACGUUGAUAGGCCGGGUGUGUAAGCGCAGCGAUGCGUUGAGCUAACCGGUACUAAUGAACCGUGAGGCUUAACCUU